RNAcentral lists this ribosomal RNA (548 nucleotides) under Zoanthus sociatus. Its description in RNAcentral is "partial 16S ribosomal RNA". It matches the Rfam family "Bacterial large subunit ribosomal RNA", at positions 1848 to 2436 of the family's 2925-position model. Lineage: Eukaryota; Metazoa; Cnidaria; Anthozoa; Zoantharia; Zoanthidae. RNAcentral also lists the same sequence under 1 other name. The record is from RNAcentral.
GAGGGUGAUGCCUGCCCAAUGGUUGUAUCUAAAAGCGGUUGAUAAAAGUUGACCUCGUAAGGACAAUUGAAUGGCCGCGGUAACACUGACCGUGAUAAUGUAGCGUAAUCAAUAGCCAAUUAAUUGUUGGCCAGUAUGAAUGGCGCCACGAAGGCCCCACUGUCUUAAGGAAAUUCCCAGUGAAAUUGAAUUCGUAGUGAAGAUGCUACGUCCAAUUUGUUAGACGAAAAGACCCCGUUGAGCUUUACUGGAGCACUUACAUGGCCCCGGCCUUCCCAUGCCUGGGAACCGGCCGAAUUUAAAUGGGCGGCUUAGAUUAUGUGGCAGCCCCCCGCUGGGGCAAAUGAAACACCACUCCCCCAUGUCAAAGGGGCUAACCCCCCCCCUUGGGGGGACAGUGUAAGUAGGACAGUUUGGUUGGGGCGACCACCUUUUAAAAAGUAACGAAGGUGCGCUUAAGGUGCGCAAUUAAUGACUGAAGCCUGACUGCGAGGGGGACACCCCGAGCAGACACCCCAAAGCCCGCCCGAAAGGCGGCGGUGGGGUGG